This 495-nucleotide ribosomal RNA is filed under the name uncultured bacterium. RNAcentral describes it as "partial 16S ribosomal RNA". It matches the Rfam family "Bacterial small subunit ribosomal RNA", at positions 28 to 523 of the family's 1533-position model. The record is from RNAcentral.
GAUGAAUGCUGGCGGCGUGCCUAACACAUGCAAGCCGAGCGGUAUUGUUUCUUCGGAAAUGAGAGAGCGGCGUACGGGUGCGUAACACGCGUGCAACCUGCCUUUAUCUGGGGGAUAGCCUUUCGAAAGGAAGAUUAAUACUCCAUAAUAUAUUGAACGGCAUCGUUUAAUAUUGAAAGCUCCGGCGGAUAGAGAUGGGCACGCGCAAGAUUAGCUAGUUGGCGAGGUAACGGCUCACCAAGGCGAUGAUCUUUAGGGGGCCUGAGAGGGUGAUCCCCCACACUGGUACUGAGACACGGACCAGACUCCUACGGGAGGCAGCAGUGAGGAAUAUUGGUCAAUGGGUGCAAGCCUGAACCAGCCAUCCCGCGUGAAGGACGACUGCCCUAUGGGUUGUAAACUUCUUUUGUAUAGGGAUAAACCUACCCUCGUGAGGGUAGCUGAAGGUACUAUACGAAUAAGCACCGGCUAACUCCGUGCCAGCAGCCGCCGCAG